Engraulis encrasicolus (European anchovy) is the source of this 3604-nucleotide long non-coding RNA. RefSeq lists it as uncharacterized. The transcript has 3 exons. The record is from RefSeq and is a predicted model, not a curated record. Lineage: Eukaryota; Metazoa; Chordata; Actinopteri; Clupeiformes; Engraulidae.
CAGGUCGGGAGCUGCUACAGUCAAUUUCAAGUGGGGUGGGGUGGGGUGAGGUCAGGUGGGUGGGAGGGAGUGGGGGGUCGGCAGGCCUGUUUCUAGGAUUUUGGGGUCCCUAGGCAACGGGAUUGUUGGGGGCCCUAGGGCAUUUUUUGGCCUUUUACUAAAAUGUGUGUGUGUGUGUGUCUGUGUGUAUGUUUGUUCACGCUGCCCAGUGGUGUUUUUCAGAAUCACUAACCAUUAAACCAGGGGUAGUGAACCUAUGUCUCGAGGGCCCUUGAGGCCGUUUUAUCCGGCCCCUGAUAUCAUUAUAAUGUUUUGCAACUUCACAUGAAAUAGGCCUAUGACAUAUUUUGCAGGCCUAAAGGAAUCUUAGAAAUUACAUUUCCAAUGCAAUUAAGUUAGGCCUAUAUUCAGGGGACCUAGAAAAGGUGGGGACUGUUUUAAAUGUGUCUACCUUUAAAGGUGUCUAUAUGUCUAUAUAGGCCUAAUGGUGUCUAUAUAUGCCUAAAUUUCAUGGGGAAAUCCUGAUUUGUGUUCAUAGUACGGCCCCCGGAGGAUUUUAUGACCAUGGUAGGAAUUUGAAGUGGCCCUUCGAAUGAAAAAGGUUCCCCACCCCUGCAUUAAACCUUUCUUCUAGCCACAGCUCUGCUGUCAGUACAUUUUAUUAUGAUACUAUAAGCUCAGAAAUGAAGUUGAUCAAACAAUUCGGUGCUAACAUUUAAAUGAACCGAAUAGAAAUCAGAAUAGAAACAUCUGAAUGAUCUUUCUUGGACAUAGCCUACAUUUUGAAGUGACCCUUUGAAUUAAAAAGGUUCCUCACCCCUGCUUUUGAGGAAAAACAUCAAUGUGCUUGGCCACUCUGGUUUUUAAAUUAUUCUGAACUAGCAAGGAUUGUUCAAGGAAGUUCAAAACAGACUGUCUCUGGUUAAAUUAGUUCUACACCAAGCCUUUAGGUGGCAGUACAACUAAUUCGCACAAUGCAAAUUCCACACACAAGCCACAAAGAAGCCAUCUACCGCGGUCAACAACACCGACCUAUCUGAACAACACCACGCGCUGUCUGUGUGGUUUCACUGUUACAAGUUUCUUGGCGAUAUGGGGGAAAGUUCCUCACAUACCAACGGAAAAUGGGCUUCACAUACAUGUAAGUAAAUUUUACUCAACUGUGGUUUAAAGUUUCAGUACUCAAGAGCGAUUGAAUAGCUCCUCUGAACACAGAUCCGCCAUUGCUAAGUUGUAGCACAAGUCCCCUCAAUGAAUGUGACUACUCUUGUUGCUGCUGUACGCUAGUAAAUUCUGACAACUUGCGAGCAUCGUAAUGACAAAAUGCAGUAGUGAAACGGUGAAUAUGUUAAGUAUACUUGUUGAUGGAAAGUUGUUUGACAUUGCUCGUUCUCAAUUGCCUUUCCCCUGCCUAAAGAUGAUUCCCAGUUUGUCGCUCCCAGCGCGGUUCGAUCCCCAGUCGGUUCGCUCCCACUAGCCAGACUAUCGAGCCCACCGAGCUAGUUAUCUUUUUGAUGUUAGUUUUUUUUGUUACGUACCCUAAACCUAACCCUUACCUUAACCCUAAACCUAACCCUGAAUUGCUUGUAUGUGGUAGUGUAUGAUAAUACGAGAAAUGUAAUCGGGUGGGAUAGAACGCCUGGGAUUGAUAGAAUCACCUGGGACUACACGUCCGGGAGUGAUCUUACAUGGGAGUGACCAUCUCCCAGCGCUUAAGAUUGACAAAGGCUACGUUAGCAUGCUAUUGCGUUAGCUCAUCAACUAGUUGCUGGGCACUGCUCAUUUUUCACGUCUGCCCGGCAUUUCGCUGAUGAACUAACGCUUGGACGUCUUGCCAAUGUAUUUUACAGCGGCAAAAAUGCAUCUAGGCGACGUUGGCAAGAUUGGUGUGCCGUCUGGGUAUGUUGGUUUUCAGUGCUGGGCAGUAGCGAAGCGACUAGUUUAAUUACAUUCCCUAGUAGCUUGGUCGUAGCGUCAUUACUCGACUAACGUCCCUGUAGUUAGGAAAGAAAUAGUUUGGAAAUCAAUGUGAAAUACCCUGGCAUUUGCAACAGUAGGCAACCUGUCCUUAAAAAGUAUGGGUCCUCAAAACACCACUUGUUGCACAAAUAAGUGUUGCAAUAGAGCACGCCACCCCGAAAUCAAUGUGAAAUACCCUGGCAUUUGCAACAGUAGGCAGGCAGCAUGUCCUUAAAACGUAUGGGUCCUCAAAACAGCACUUGUUGCACAAAUAAGUGUAGCUGGCCUCUUCAAGAAAUUGAAAUUAUGCAUGGUCACUUUUUCUUAUUGUUUCACGUGGAGGUCUACUGACAUUGUAUAAAUAAUGUAGGCUAGUUUAUGUCCAUGUAUUAUAUUAGGACCCAAGGUUAAUGGGUUAUUCUGUUUACCAUGUUUUCACAGGCUGCUGUCUCAUAAUAUGGCGAAGACGAGUCACUUGAAGGCCUAACAGCUCUUAUGAGGAGCAGUCUUGCCAUAGAAGACUGAAAGAAUGUAAGAUUAACUUCUUUGUGACCAAUAUGACUUGCUCAUUGAUACAUUAGCUAUGUCAAUAUGAGAUGCAUGGCGAAGUAUUUAAUUUAUUUGUCUCUCUUCUAGGAGCUGUAGAAACAACAGGGUGCCUGCUGCAGUAUGACGAGGACGCCCUGAUCAUAGAAGGUCCAGUGUCUUGGCAGGGUGAAAUGGCACUGAUAUCGUGUCCUGCAGGAUGCUGUGUCCUGCAAUCCUGUGUGCUGUGCUACAGACGCGUGUGGAGGUCAACCCGAAAUGGGCACAGUAGAGUGAAAGAGGGUAAGCUUAACCUAUAGCCUACGUCAGGGUUGGGGAACCUUUCUCAUUCGAAUGGCCACUUCAAAUUCAUCCGAGGGGCCAUAAAAGUCCUCCAAGGGCCGUACUAUGAACACAAACCAGGAUUUUCCCUUUCACUUUAGGCCUAUAUUGAAGGCAGCCACAUUUAAACAAACGCCAACUUCAGGUUCCCUGAAUAUAACUUAAUUGUAUUGCUAAUGUAUUUUCUAAGAUUCCUUUACAAAAUAUGUCAUAUUUCAUGUGAAGAUGGAAUUGCAUUAAAAUUAUAUCGGGGGCCGGAUAAAACAGCCUCAAGGGUCGCAAACGGCCCUAGAGACAUAGGUUCCCCACCCCUGUCCUACAUUGUCAAUAUGACUUGUGCUACUUUAUAGAUAAGUUGUCAAUGCUGUGCAUUGCUAUGUUUUGAUUUAUUUUCUUACAUCCUACAGAUCCUGGCAGGGAGACGGUAGUGUCCUGCAGGAUGGUGAUGGGCAAUCUUACAAGAGACCACAGAAAACUGAUAUAGUCUCCCAGAAGUGAGACUGAGUGCCUGUUGCAGUAUGACGAGGAAGCAGUGACCAGAGACCUUCAGUAGACCCUGCUGGCAUGAUUGGCGGCUGAAGAACAUAAUCAACAGCAAUGUUUACUUUAUAAUAUUGUACAUACCUGUAUAGUCUGCACUAAAAUGCUGUACCUGUACUAUUUUUCCUCUUACUUUCAUAUUUACCACGUAUUUACUAUGAAUUGACAACUUUUACUCAAAUCCAUUUUUGUAUGUGCCCUGACUAAAACUAUCCUUAAACCUAACCUGUCAGAGGUG